GGGGAUUUAGCUCAGUGGCACAGCACCUGCCUUGCAAGCACAAGGUUGUAAAUUCAAUCCCUG
This 63-nucleotide transfer RNA is filed under the name Fukomys damarensis (Damara mole-rat). It matches the Rfam family "tRNA". From Rfam's summary of the family: Transfer RNA (tRNA) molecules are approximately 80 nucleotides in length. Their secondary structure includes four short double-helical elements and three loops (D, anti-codon, and T loops). The record is from Rfam by way of RNAcentral. Lineage: Eukaryota; Metazoa; Chordata; Mammalia; Rodentia; Bathyergidae.